GACCGCUCCGGUGGCCUCAGUGGUUAGAGCAUCCGCCUCGGAUGCGGUAGGUCGAGGGUUCGGACCCCGGCCAAGUCA
Non-coding RNA from Potamilus streckersoni, 78 nucleotides. NCBI's taxonomy places the organism in Eukaryota, Metazoa, Mollusca, Bivalvia, Unionida, Unionidae. The record is from the annotation of a GenBank genome assembly.